This 342-nucleotide unclassified non-coding RNA is filed under the name Hevea brasiliensis (rubber tree). The record is from RNAcentral. Lineage: Eukaryota; Viridiplantae; Streptophyta; Magnoliopsida; Malpighiales; Euphorbiaceae.
AAUUUAGUAAAAUUACUAAUAUACUCCUAAAAAAUCCAGAAAUUCCAAGAGGCCUAGUGCCCCCUUGGCUCUAGUGUGGCUCCGCCUAUGUCUCUGUUACUACUCUCCAAACCCCGGCAAAAUGCAAUCUCUGGAAAAUCAAAAGGAACAUAUGCUGAGCAAUAGCUACAUUGUUCCUCUACCCCAUAUUCAUUGGAUGAAAAGCUGUUUUGAGUAAAAUAUAGAGGCGCAAUAUCAUAAAUAUUACAAAUUUCAAACAUAUGAAAAGCAACAAAAAUAUUGCAGAAAAUUCAGUCAUUAUCAAAUAGCCAACCAAAGUGAUGAGAAUCAAGCUACAUCCAC